RNAcentral lists this small nuclear RNA (24 nucleotides) under Arabidopsis thaliana (thale cress). Its description in RNAcentral is "snRNA_17851". The record is from RNAcentral. Lineage: Eukaryota; Viridiplantae; Streptophyta; Magnoliopsida; Brassicales; Brassicaceae.
GUUGAGACUUAUUUUCCCUUCCCU